UGCAGUCGAGCGAACUGACGAGGAGCUUGCUCCUUUGACGUUAGCGGCGGACGGGUGAGUAACACGUGGGUAACCUACCUAUAAGACUGGAAUAACUCCGGGAAACCGGGGCUAAUGCCGGAUAACAUAUCGAACCGCAUGGUUCGAUAGUGAAAGACGGUCUUGCUGUCACUUAUAGAUGGACCCGCGCCGUAUUAGCUAGUUGGUGAGGUAACGGCUCACCAAGGCGACGAUACGUAGCCGACCUGAGAGGGUGAUCGGCCACACUGGAACUGAGACACGGUCCAGACUCCUACGGGAGGCAGCAGUAGGGAAUCUUCCGCAAUGGGCGAAAGCCUGACGGAGCAACGCCGCGUGAGUGAUGAAGGUCUUCGGAUCGUAAAGCUCUGUUGUUAGGGAAGAACAAAUGUGUAAGUAACUGUGCACAUCUUGACGGUACCUAACCAAAAAGCCACGGCUAACUACGUGCCAGCAGCCGCGGUAAUACGUAGGUGGCAAGCGUUAUCCGGAAUUAUUGGGCGUAAAGCGCGCGUAGGCGGUUUUUUAAGUCUGAUGUGAAAGCCCACGGCUCAACCGUGGAGGGUCAUUGGAAACUGGAAAACUUGAGUGCAGAAGAGGAAAGUGGAAUUCCAUGUGUAGCGGUGAAAUGCGCAGAGAUAUGGAGGAACACCAGUGGCGAAAGGCGGGCUUUCUGGUCUGUAACUGACGCUGAUGUGCGAAAGCGUGAGGAUCAAACAGGAUUAGAUACCCUGAUAGUCCACGUCCGUAAACGAUGAGUGACUAAGUUGA
This 789-nucleotide ribosomal RNA is filed under the name Staphylococcus chromogenes. RNAcentral's name for it is "bacterial SSU rRNA". It matches the Rfam family "Bacterial small subunit ribosomal RNA", at positions 56 to 825 of the family's 1533-position model. Lineage: Bacteria; Bacillati; Bacillota; Bacilli; Caryophanales; Staphylococcaceae. The record is from RNAcentral.